UUUAUGAGAUCCUUGUAGAGUAACAUAAUCCAUGUUUGUCCUAGCUAUGGCACGACUGAUAAGAACCCCCACGAGGACAGAAGUUUGUGGUUUUGCAAAGAAGCGAGACAUAUUAUUGAUAUUUUACUAUAAUUACCGUAUGCAUCCGCUUCAUAGCCUCGAACAACAUUUGGAUCUGCUAGAUUGUAUUAUUCAGAUGUUACGG
RNAcentral lists this long non-coding RNA (205 nucleotides) under Olea europaea (common olive). Its description in RNAcentral is "long non-coding RNA (OEUR_LNC007683)". Lineage: Eukaryota; Viridiplantae; Streptophyta; Magnoliopsida; Lamiales; Oleaceae. The record is from RNAcentral.